This 136-nucleotide ribosomal RNA is filed under the name uncultured eukaryote. Its description in RNAcentral is "partial 18S ribosomal RNA". It matches the Rfam family "Eukaryotic small subunit ribosomal RNA", at positions 1299 to 1458 of the family's 1831-position model. The record is from RNAcentral.
UGGUGGAUUGAUUUGUCUGGUUGAUUCCGAUAACGAACGAGAUCUCCGCAAGAUACCUGGUCUGGUAGGGUCUUUUCCCUACUCAGUCAGUUUCUGGACAGUGCAUGGCAAGUGCAAGGAAGUGGAGGCAAUAACA